UCUCCGUAGGUGAACCUGCGGAGGGAUCAUUACAGAGUUCAUGCCCUACCGGGUCGAUCUCCCACCCUAUGUUAUUAUUACUUUGUUGCUUUGGCGGGCCGUUAGGCUCCGGCCCGACUACCGGCCCCGGCUGGUAAGCGCCCGCAAGAGGACCCAAAACCCUGAAUAUUAGUGUCGUCUGAGUACUAUAUAAUAGUUAAAACUUUCAACAACGGAUCUCUUGGUUCUG
Molecule: unclassified non-coding RNA, 229 nt
Filed under: plant metagenome
Description: partial contains small subunit ribosomal RNA, internal transcribed spacer 1, and 5.8S ribosomal RNA
Source: RNAcentral